AAGUCGUAACAAGGUCUCCGUAGGUGAACCUGCGGAGGGAUCAUUAACACGUUUAACACGUUAUCAACCAAACGCGAACUCGGAGGCGAACUUGCAGUCGCAAGACUGUGAAAGUAGUUUCUAAAUCGACCUGAAAGAAAGUAAUCGUUUAAUUUCACUAGUGAUGGGCGAACUUGGAUUAAAUGAGGCGCAAGCUUUGUUUAGUCAAAUAGUAGCGGUGAAGUUGGACUUACAUAGCUCGACUAUGAAGGUUAUUUUCUCUCAGGUUAAACCAAUUUCUUUUCAUCACAGGAAAGCAACAAACCAAUUUCACCCCCUAUGCGAAUUGACUGAAUCACAUUGAACGGGAGAAAUCCUGUCUAAUGUCUAAACAAAACUAAAAGCACAACUCUUAGCAACGGAUAUCUAGGUUCUC
Molecule: unclassified non-coding RNA, 415 nt
Filed under: fungal sp.
Lineage: Eukaryota; Fungi
Description: partial internal transcribed spacer region
Rfam family: Eukaryotic small subunit ribosomal RNA (bases 1-46)
Source: RNAcentral